Molecule: long non-coding RNA, 890 nt
Organism: Solea senegalensis (Senegalese sole)
Lineage: Eukaryota; Metazoa; Chordata; Actinopteri; Pleuronectiformes; Soleidae
Exons: 3
Source: RefSeq, a predicted model, not a curated record
UAUUUUUUUUAAAUUAGAAGAAUUAAGAUUUUUGAGUGUCUCAAAAGUUGCGUGGGUAUAUUUUAGUGACCUCUUCAGUGGGACAAAGGAGGCUGCGUAUCGAUCUGAAAACACCUUUCCACUGAGGCUCGUGGUGAAGGGGAGGGGCUCCGAAUCUACGAGAGGCUCCAUUAACAGCCCAUAUGCACUCCAUCCUAACUAUUAUCCUGCAUAAAGUGUUUAUAAAGGGCGCACAGGCGGGCUAAUUUCACCUGAAAUGAGACGCCAUCAUGUCACCUGCAGCAGAGAAGAAGCCGAGGAAGAAGAAGGAGAAGGAGCUGGUGUUUUCAUGACAGAGGGUGUGGUGAUCGUCACAACACAACUUGGAUGGCAAGAGAAGUGGCUCAGUUCACACUGGAUGCGCUCGGACACUGGACUCACCAGGCUGUGGGCUCAAAGAGAUUUGGUGCGGAUCAUUUACACUAAACCGGAUUAGUCACAUUGGCCAACUCCAUCUGAUGUGGUCUGACGUGGCCAUGUGUGGAGAAAGUGUUCCAUAAGAUCUACAGGAUCUCACUGUCACAUCAGAAAAGACUUUAAAAACACACCUCGACGUUUGGAAUUUAGAUCCGAAGCUAUUUCCUCCCACAUCUCUGCCCUGACUUACACCUGCAAAUCCACCACCCUAACAACACCCGACAGAGAUGCAUCUUUUCUGUCGGGUAAAAAAGAAAAGAAAAGGUAAAUAAAAGAUACAAUUCUCUGAACUGGCCCCUCUGCUCAUUGCGUUUGCCCCAGUGGUCAAGGACACUGGUAUCAGUGGACGUCAGGUUAGGCCCCAUCCAUCAGAGGGCUUUGGGUAAUGGAAUCAACCAGUGACAAUGAUCAUCAGCACUGCAAACAAUGGUCCA